RNAcentral lists this ribosomal RNA (253 nucleotides) under uncultured bacterium. RNAcentral describes it as "partial 16S ribosomal RNA". It matches the Rfam family "Bacterial small subunit ribosomal RNA", at positions 524 to 776 of the family's 1533-position model. The record is from RNAcentral.
UACGUAGGGUGCAAGCGUUGUCCGGAAUCAUUGGGCGUAAAGCGCGCGUAGGUGGCUUCGUAAGUCCGUUGUGAAAGUCAAAGGCUCAACCUUUGAAUGCCGAUGGAUACUGCGGAGCUAGAGUACGGAAGAGGCGAGUGGAAUUCCUGGUGUAGCGGUGGAAUGCGCAGAUAUCAGGAGGAACACCAAUAGCGAAGGCAGCUCGCUGGGACGUUACUGACACUAAGGCGCGAAAGCGUGGGGAGCGAACAGG